This 290-nucleotide ribosomal RNA is filed under the name uncultured bacterium. RNAcentral's name for it is "partial 16S ribosomal RNA". It matches the Rfam family "Bacterial small subunit ribosomal RNA", at positions 527 to 816 of the family's 1533-position model. The record is from RNAcentral.
GGAGGGUGCAAGCGUUAUCCGGAUUUAUUGGGUUUAAAGGGUCCGUAGGCGGACCUGUAAGUCAGUGGUGAAAUCUCGCAGCUCAACUGUGAAACUGCCAUUGAUACUGCAGGUCUUGAGUAAAUUUGAAGUGGCUGGAAUNAGUNGUGUAGCGGUGAAAUGCAUAGAUAUUACUUAGAACACCNAUUGCGAAGGCAGGUCACUAAGAUUUAACUGACGCUGAUGGACGAAAGCGUGGGGNGCGAACAGGAUUAGAUACCCUGGUAGUCCACGCCGUANACGAAAGCCGA